AGAGUUUGAUCCUGGCUCAGAAUAAACGCUGGCGGCGUGCUUAACACAUGCAAGUCGAGCGAGAAAGCUCCUUCGGGAGUGAGUACAGCGGCGGACGGGUGAGUAAUACACAAGAAUCUACCCUUCAGUGAAGAAUACCCCCAAGAAAUUGGGGCUAAUGCUGCAUACGUCCCUUCGGGGAGAAAGACGGCCUCUUUGCUGUCGCUGAUGGAUGAGCUUGUGCGCUAUUAGCUUGUUGGUGAGGUAAAGGCUCACCAAGGCGAUGAUGGCUAGCCGGCCUGAGAGGGUGUACGGCCACACUGGAACUUAGACACGGUCCAGACUCCUACGGGAGGCAGCAGUGAGGAAUAUUGCGCAAUGGGCGAAAGCCUGACGCAGCGACGCCGCGUGAAGGAUGAAGGCCUUAGGGUCGUAAACUUCUGUUAAGUGGGAAGAAAAGCCAAGCUCUAAUACAGCUUGGUAAUGACGGUACCACUAGAGAAAGCACCGGCUAACUUCGUGCCAGCAGCCGCGGUAAUACGAGGGGUGCUAGCGUUAUUCGGAAUUAUUGGGCGUAAAGGGUGCGUAGACGGCGCAUUAAGUCACCUGUUAAAUUCUUCGGCUCAACCGAAGAUCUGCGGGCGAUACUGAUGUGCUAGAGGAUGGAAGAGAGAAGUGGAAUUCUCGGAGUAGCGGUAAAAUGCGUAGAUCUCGAGAGGAACACCGAUGGCGAAGGCAGCUUCUUGGUCCAUUCCUGACGUUGAGGCACGAAAGCGUGGGGAGCAAACAGGAUUAGAUACCCUGGUAGUCCACGCUGUAAACGAUGAUCACUGGAUGUUAGUUUUGUUUACAAAAUUAGUGUCGUAGCUAACGCGUUAAGUGAUCCGCCUGGGGAGUACGGUCGCAAGACUAAAACUCAAAGGAAUUGACGGGGGCCCGCACAAGCGGUGGAACAUGUGGUUUAAUUCGAUACUACGCGAGGAACCUUACCUAGACUUGACAUGCUUUUGACAGCUGUAGAAAUACAGUCUUCUGAAUUUCGGUUUAGACAAUUGCACAGGUGCUGCAUGGCUGUCGUCAGCUCGUGUCGUGAGAUGUUGGGUUAAGUCCUUUAACGAGCGCAACCCUUGCUGUUAGUUGCUAGUUGAUUUAUCAACGCACUCUAACCAGGACUGCCUGGGAAACCAGGAGGAAGGUGGGGACGACGUCAAGUCAUCAUGGCCCUUAUGUCUAGGGCUACACACGUGUUACAAUGGCCAGUACAAAGGGUUGCCAACCUGUAAAGGUGAGCUAAUCCCAAAAAGCUGGUCUAAGUUCGGAUUGAGGUCUGCAACUCGACCUCAUGAAGUUGAAAUCGCUAGUAAUCGCGUAUCAGCAACGACGCGGUGAAUACGUUCACGGGCCUUGUACACACCGCCCGUCACACCACGAAAGUUGUUUGUACCCGAAGUCGUCUUAGCCAACCCGUAAGGGAGGCGGGCGCCUAAGGUAUGGGUGGCAAUUGGGGUGAAGUCGUAACAAGGUAACC
RNAcentral lists this ribosomal RNA (1507 nucleotides) under uncultured bacterium. Its description in RNAcentral is "bacterial SSU rRNA". It matches the Rfam family "Bacterial small subunit ribosomal RNA". The record is from RNAcentral.